ACGGCUCAGUAACACGUAGUCAACAUGCCCAGGGGACGUGGAUAACCUCGGGAAACUGAGGGUAAACCACGAUAAGUCACUACUUCUGGAAUGGGUAAUGACUCAAAUCUACAUGGCCCCUGGAUUGGACUGCGGCCGAUCAGGCUGUUGGUGAGGUAAUGGCCCACCAAACCUGUAACCGGUACGGGCUCUGAGAGGAGGAGCCCGGAGAUGGGCACUGAGACAAGGGCCCAGGCCCUAUGGGGCGCAGCAGGCGCGAAACCUCUGCAAUAGGCGAAAGCCUGACAGGGUUACUCUGAGUGAUUUCCGUUAAGGAGACCUUUUGGCACCUCUAAAAAUGGUGCAGAAUAAGGGGUGGGCAAGUCUGGUGUCAGCCGCCGCGGUAAUACCAGCACCCCGAGUGGUCGGGACGUUUAUUGGGCCUAAAGCAUCCGUAGCCGGUUCUACAAGUCUUCCGUUAAAUCCACCUGCUUAACAGAUGGGCUGCGGAAGAUACUAUAGAGCUAGGAGGCGGGAGAGGCAAGCGGUACUCGAUGGGUAGGGGUAAAAUCCGUUGAUCCAUUGAAGACCACCAGUGGCGAAGGCGGCUUGCCAGAACGCGCUCGACGGUGAGGGAUGAAAGCUGGGGGAGCAAACCGGAUUAGAUACCCGGGUAGUCCCAGCUGUAAACGAUGCAGACUCGGUGAUGAGUUGGCCUUAUGCCAACUCAGUGCCGCAGGGAAGCCGUUAAGUUUGCCGCCUGGGGAGUACGGUCGCAAGACUGAAACUUAAAGGAAUUGGCGGGGGAGCAC
This 791-nucleotide ribosomal RNA is filed under the name uncultured archaeon. RNAcentral's name for it is "bacterial SSU rRNA". It matches the Rfam family "Archaeal small subunit ribosomal RNA", at positions 85 to 879 of the family's 1478-position model. The record is from RNAcentral.